This 700-nucleotide long non-coding RNA is filed under the name Homo sapiens (human). RNAcentral describes it as "HSALNT0082713". Lineage: Eukaryota; Metazoa; Chordata; Mammalia; Primates; Hominidae. The record is from RNAcentral.
CAGAUAGAGACAAGGGAUAUUUGACUUCUUAUCUCUGUUGUCCAGCACAAUGUCCAGAACACAACAGAUAUUCCAUAUGCACAGUCACAUGCUAUGUAUGUGUAUUUUCUUUCCAGAAAGGACUAGAGGUCCUAAGCUUUGUUAAUAUCAUGAGCCAGUGCCCACAUGAGCAGGAGAAUUUUAGCACAGUCACCUACACACUCAUUUCGAUGCUCUGACCCCUUAUCCAAGCCAGUCAAAGUGUGGUCUAUGGUUUUGCAUUUUAAAGAGAUCCCUGGGUGAAUCUUGUGCAUGUUACAGGGAAGCACUGUCCUACAUCCUAUGUGACAGGCUCUCAUAGUCACCAUCAUCAUGGGAAUCUUGCACAUGUUACAGGGAAGCACUGUCCUACAUCAUAUGUGACAGGCUCUCAUAGUCACCAUCAUCACGGGAAUCUUGCACAUGUUACAGGGAAGCACUGUCCUACAUCGUAUCUGACAGGCUCUCAUAGUCACCAUCAUCACGGGAAGCUGCAUUUAGAGCAUUUAACUGUAUGGGCUCUGAAAUCAGAUGACUUAGGUUUGGGCUUGCCUCUACUUCUUACUAAGCAGAGAACUUUGGGGCAUGAUACUUAAUUUUACUAGGCUCAGUUUUAUCAUGUGUAAAUUGGAGGCAAGGGGAAAUUAUAGCAUUUUGCAUAGAAUAUUGUUUUAAGUAUGAA